RNAcentral lists this ribosomal RNA (484 nucleotides) under uncultured bacterium. RNAcentral's name for it is "partial 16S ribosomal RNA". It matches the Rfam family "Bacterial small subunit ribosomal RNA", at positions 29 to 507 of the family's 1533-position model. The record is from RNAcentral.
AUUGAACGCUGGCGGCAGGCCUAACACAUGCAAGUCGAGCGGAUGAAGCGAGCUUGCUCCUGGAUUCAGCGGCGGACGGGUGAGUAAUGCCUAGGAAUCUGCCUGGUCGUGGGGGAUAACGUCCGGAAACGGGCGCUGAUACCGCAUACGUCCUGAUGGAGACAGUGGAGGAUCUUCGGACUUCACGCUAUCAGAUGAACGUAGGUCGGAUUAGCUAGUUGGGGGGGUAACGGGCUACAAAGGCGACGAAGCGUAACUGGUCUGAGAGGAUGAUCAGUUAGCUGGGAAGUGAGAAAGGGCCCAGACUCCUACGGUGGGAAGCAGUCGGGAAUAUUGCACGAGGGGGGAGAGCCUGAUCCAGCGAAGCCGCGGGUGGGAAGAAGGUGCUCGGAUUGGAAAGCACUGUAGGUUGGGAGAAAGGGCAGUAAGUUAAUACGUUGCUGUAUUGACGGUACCAACAGAAGAAGCACCGGCUAACUUCGUG